GACGAACGCUGGCGGCGUGCUUAACACAUGCAAGUCGAACGGAAAGGCCCUGCUUUUGUGGGGUGCUCGAGUGGCGAACGGGUGAGUAACACGUGAGUAACCUGCCCUUGACUUUGGGAUAACUUCAGGAAACUGGGGCUAAUACCGGAUAGGAGCUCCUGCUGCAUGGUGGGGGUUGGAAAGUUUCGGCGGUUGGGGAUGGACUCGCGGCUUACCAGCUUGUUGGUGGGGUAGUGGCUUACCAAGGCUGUGACGGGUAGCCGGCCUGAGAGGGUGACCGGCCACAUUGGGACUGAGAUACGGAGCAGACUCCUACGGGAGGCAGCAGUGGGGAAUAUUGCACAAUGGGCGGAAGCCUGAGGCAGAAACGCCGCGUGCGGGAUGACGGCCUUCGGGUUGUGAACCGCUUUCGCCUGUGACGAAGCGUGAGUGACGGUAAUGGGUAAAGAAGCACCGGCUAACUACGUG
RNAcentral lists this ribosomal RNA (468 nucleotides) under uncultured bacterium. Its description in RNAcentral is "partial 16S ribosomal RNA". It matches the Rfam family "Bacterial small subunit ribosomal RNA", at positions 28 to 507 of the family's 1533-position model. The record is from RNAcentral.